Sitodiplosis mosellana (orange wheat blossom midge) is the source of this 851-nucleotide long non-coding RNA. RefSeq lists it as uncharacterized. The record is from RefSeq and is a predicted model, not a curated record. NCBI's taxonomy places the organism in Eukaryota, Metazoa, Arthropoda, Insecta, Diptera, Cecidomyiidae. The transcript is spliced from 5 exons.
AAAAUACUACUCGUUUUGAAUCAAUAGAAAAAAGCUUGGGAUACGAUAACAUUGUUGGCUGUUCGUGUUCAUUUAUUGGCGCUUUAAAAAUAUCAUCACCAAACCGAAAUACAACGUACCCGCAAGCAAAUACCAACUUUGUCCCCAUUACUGUCAUCAUUUUCAUCAUGACGCCAGGCCAAUCAAUAACAAAACCAACGUCAUAUAGGUCUGACCUAAGGGGAUUUAUCUCUCGCGAAUGCUGCGAAUGCAUUCGCAUUACAGAACAAAAAUUCGAAUGUUUGCGAAUGCGACGAAUGCGGCUAUGACAGCGAACUUGUGACUACAUAAUUCAUUCGUUCAUUCGUGUUUGUGCAUGCAUUCGCAACGCUGCCGUAUGAUUUCUAUGUAAACAUUCGCACUUGCAUUCGUGAGAACGUUCGAGAACAGCGAAAUACGACUGCUAUACGAAUGCGAGUGCGAAUGUUUACAUAGAAAUCAUAUGGCAGCGUUGCGAAUGCAUGGCACUGAGCGCGAAUUUGGGAAUAAAAAUUCGAAUGCCAAACCGACAUAGAAGCCCCUAGGGUCUGACACCAAACUAAUCGCAGGCAAUGAAGCCGAAUCCGCGUUUGAGAUAUACUCACCACUACCGGCAGAUGUACACUGGAAUGCAUGGUUGAUUCAAAAUAAUCUUGGAGAAUUUCAAUUGAUGGUGACUCUGCUUACAAAUGACGCCAAUCCGAUUGAUAUCACAAUUCAGGAUGCUAUUGCACAUCUUCAACAUGCCGAACGAGAUGAAUUCACAGAUAACAUUCGACCGGCGCAUUUUCAAACGGAUUUAGGUGAUGAGUUAUCAGACGAUAACCUUACUG